RNAcentral lists this ribosomal RNA (301 nucleotides) under uncultured bacterium. RNAcentral's name for it is "partial 16S ribosomal RNA". It matches the Rfam family "Bacterial small subunit ribosomal RNA", at positions 509 to 807 of the family's 1533-position model. The record is from RNAcentral.
CAGUAGCCGCGGUAAUACGUAGGUGGCAAGCGUUGUCCGGAAUUAUUGGGCGUAAAGGGCUCGCAGGCGGUUUCUUAAGUCUGAUGUGAAAGCCCCCGGCUCAACCGGGGAGGGUCAUUGGAAACUGGGAAACUUGAGCGCAGAAGAGGAGAGUGGAAUUCCACGUGUAGCGGUGAAAUGCGUAGAGAUGUAGAGGAACACCAGUGGCGAAGGCGACUCUCUGGUCUGUAACUGACGCUGAGGAGCGAAAGCGUGGGGAGCGAACAGGAUUAGAUACCCGAGUAGUCCCUGUCUCUUAUAC